RNAcentral lists this ribosomal RNA (490 nucleotides) under uncultured bacterium. Its description in RNAcentral is "partial 16S ribosomal RNA". It matches the Rfam family "Bacterial small subunit ribosomal RNA", at positions 29 to 507 of the family's 1533-position model. The record is from RNAcentral.
AAUGAACGCUGGCGGCAUGCCUUACACAUGCAAGUCGAACGGCAGCAUGACCUAGCUUGCUAGGUUGAUGGCGAGUGGCGAACGGGUGAGUAAUGCAUCGGAACGUGCCUUUUAGUGGGGGAUAACGUAGCGAAAGUUACGCUAAUACCGCAUAUUCUCUGAGGAGGAAAGCAGGGGACCUUCGGGCCUUGCGCUAGAAGAGCGGCCGAUGUCGGAUUAGCUAGUUGGUGAGGUAAAGGCUCACCAAAGCAACGAUCCGUAGCGGGUCUGAGAGGAUGAUCCGCCACACUGGGACUGAGACACGGCCCAGACUCCUACGGGAGGCAGCAGUGGGGAAUUUUGGACAAUGGGCGCAAGCCUGAUCCAGCCAUGCCGCGUGAGUGAAGAAGGCCUUCGGGUUGUAAAGCUCUUUCGGCUGGGAAGAAAUCGCACCCUCUAAUACAGGGUGUGGAUGACGGUACCAGCAUAAGAAGCACCGGCUAACUACGUG